This is a long non-coding RNA of Hyla sarda, 389 nucleotides long. RefSeq lists it as uncharacterized. NCBI's taxonomy places the organism in Eukaryota, Metazoa, Chordata, Amphibia, Anura, Hylidae. The record is from RefSeq and is a predicted model, not a curated record. The transcript is spliced from 3 exons.
GCAUAACCCAAAAAGACAAUUUGUAUCACAGCUACUGGAUGGCCACAAAUAGACACAUUCAGCAGAAACAUCUCUCAACAGAUCUUAAAGCUGGAAAUCAUGCAUUGGUGAAGGAACGGUUUUUUCAUCUGGGCUGCGGGAUGUCAGUGCCUGUCAGUACUCACAUCAUAGGCUGCACACUGCAUCAGAUUGGUCUGCAUGGCUGUCAUCUAAAGAUGACGCACAAGAAAACCUGCAAACAGUUUGUUGAAGACAAGAAGACUAAAGACAUGGAUUACUGGAACCAUAUCCUGUAGUCCAAUGAGACCAAGAUAUGUGAAUGCGGAGAGCUACGCCAGAUUCGGUGGACUGUGACAAUGACCAGCAUUUUUUAAAUUUCAAUAAAAUGG